GGGACUAUGGCUCAGUGGUAGAGCAGCUGCUUAUCAUACAGAAGGUCCUAGGUUCAAUCCCCACCAUUUGCA
This 72-nucleotide transfer RNA is filed under the name Sphaerodactylus townsendi. Its description in RNAcentral is "tRNA-Asp". The record is from RNAcentral. Lineage: Eukaryota; Metazoa; Chordata; Lepidosauria; Squamata; Sphaerodactylidae.